This is a non-coding RNA of Araneus ventricosus, 90 nucleotides long. NCBI's taxonomy places the organism in Eukaryota, Metazoa, Arthropoda, Arachnida, Araneae, Araneidae. The record is from the annotation of a GenBank genome assembly.
CCGCUUUAUAGCUCAGUUGGCAGAGCGGUGGACUGUAGAUGACUAAUGGCAGAUAUCCAUAGGUCGCUGGUUCGACUCCGGCUCGACGGA